UUUACCUAUGCAGCUCCUGACAUAAUCAAAACAAAAUUCCAGCAUCUGAGAGACUUGGGGGUACAUUCUAAGAGAGAACAACACCCUAGCAAAAGCACUGUUUACUGCUCAGAGCCCUGGAGGAACUGGUUCUGCAGACUGCUGACCCCAGGGGAUGUCUGACACAAGGGCGCCCGCAGAGCUCAUUUAACUUAAUGCCCUUCCUCUACAGGCACACAGCUUCCAGGUCAUGGGAUUCAGGCACUGUGGCCCAGAAAAGGAAUAAUAAUAGUAACACAAGCUCCUUGGCAGAAGUUCAGCAAACAUGAUCAUCCUAAGCUCAAAGCUACCACAGCUUUCCAGAAAAACACCCAAGUGGUUUGCUGAUCAAAAAUUCUCUGAUUCCAAAG
Molecule: long non-coding RNA, 389 nt
Filed under: Ursus maritimus (polar bear)
Lineage: Eukaryota; Metazoa; Chordata; Mammalia; Carnivora; Ursidae
Description: lncRNA (ENSUMAG00000009396.1)
Source: RNAcentral